CAGACGGGUGAGUAACGCGUGGUCAACCUACCGUUGAGUGGGGGAGUAACUAGCCGAAAGGUUAGCUAAUACCGCAUACGUCUCCGAGGGGCAUCCCUUGGCGAUAAAAGGAGCAAUCCGCUCGAUGACGGGACCGCGUCCCAUUAGCUAGAUGGUGGGGUAACGGCCUACCAUGGCACCGAUGGGUAGCUGGUUUGAGAGAGCGACCAGCCACACUGGGACUGAGAAACGGCCCAG
This 237-nucleotide ribosomal RNA is filed under the name uncultured bacterium. Its description in RNAcentral is "partial 16S ribosomal RNA". It matches the Rfam family "Bacterial small subunit ribosomal RNA", at positions 99 to 334 of the family's 1533-position model. The record is from RNAcentral.